RNAcentral lists this transfer RNA (74 nucleotides) under Rothia amarae. RNAcentral's name for it is "tRNA-Arg". It matches the Rfam family "tRNA". From Rfam's summary of the family: Transfer RNA (tRNA) molecules are approximately 80 nucleotides in length. Their secondary structure includes four short double-helical elements and three loops (D, anti-codon, and T loops). The record is from RNAcentral. Lineage: Bacteria; Bacillati; Actinomycetota; Actinomycetes; Micrococcales; Micrococcaceae. RNAcentral also lists the same sequence under 1 other name.
GCCUCUGUAGCUCAGUGGAUAGAGCACCAGUUUCCGGUACUGGUUGUCGAAGGUUCGAAUCCUUUCAGGGGCAC